GCUAGGAUGGUCUAGUGGUAUGACGUUCGCCUCACACGCGAAAGGUCCCGGGUUCGAGACCCGGUCUUAGUA
Non-coding RNA from Sporormia fimetaria CBS 119925, 72 nucleotides. The record is from the annotation of a GenBank genome assembly. Lineage: Eukaryota; Fungi; Ascomycota; Dothideomycetes; Pleosporales; Sporormiaceae.